Non-coding RNA from Carica papaya (papaya), 336 nucleotides. NCBI's taxonomy places the organism in Eukaryota, Viridiplantae, Streptophyta, Magnoliopsida, Brassicales, Caricaceae. The record is from RefSeq and is a predicted model, not a curated record.
AAAAAUUCUAGUUAAACAAGUGAGUGAAAAGGGAGUUUGAGAGCAUAAAAUAGUAGAGAGAGAGAGAGAAAGAGAGUGAUGCACCAGAAUAGAACGCGUGUUCUAUUUGCAUAUCAGAGGAGAAAUUGCUUCUUCUUGAUGAGCUCUUAAAUUGUUGCUGCAAGUCUCAUAACUCAGAACAGUAGCUGCUGCACCUGAAUGACUACUAUGUUCAGAUCUAUUUGAAGAGGACCCAUCAUACGAGAAGAGAAACAGCAAGCAACUAGUCUAACCCCUCAAAUUUAUAAUUGUUUGAGUGGUUCCAGCACCAAGUAGUGAUUAGUGCCACACUGAGGA